RNAcentral lists this transfer RNA (71 nucleotides) under Cordylochernes scorpioides. RNAcentral's name for it is "tRNA-Gly". It matches the Rfam family "tRNA". Rfam says of the family: Transfer RNA (tRNA) molecules are approximately 80 nucleotides in length. Their secondary structure includes four short double-helical elements and three loops (D, anti-codon, and T loops). The record is from RNAcentral. Lineage: Eukaryota; Metazoa; Arthropoda; Arachnida; Pseudoscorpiones; Chernetidae.
GCAUCGGUGGUUCAGUGGUAGAAUGCUCGUCUGCCACGCGGGCGGCCAGGGUUCGAUUCCCGGCCGAUGCA